UGGGGAAUAUUGGGCAAUGGGCGAAAGCCUGACCCAGCGACGCCGCGUGGGCGAUGAAGGCCUUCGGGUUGUAAAGCCCUGUCAUGUGGAAAGAACAGUUCUGCGGUUAAUACCCGCGGAAUUUGACGGUACCACAGGAGGAAGCACCGGCUAACUCCGUGCCAGCAGCCGCGGUAAUACGGAGGGUGCAAGCGUUGUUCGGCAUUAUUUGGCGUAAAGGGCGCGUAGGCGUUUGUGAAAGUCAGAUGUGAAAUACUUCGGCCCAACUGAAGAACUGCAUCUGAAACUUCAGAACUCGAGUACAGGAGAGGGAAACGGAAUGCCCGGUGUAGAGGUGAAAUUCGUAGAUAUCGGGAGGAACACCAGUGGCGAAGGCGGUUUCCUGGCCUGAUACUGACGCUGAGGCGCGAAAGCGUGGGGAGCAAACA
RNAcentral lists this ribosomal RNA (428 nucleotides) under uncultured prokaryote. RNAcentral's name for it is "bacterial SSU rRNA". It matches the Rfam family "Bacterial small subunit ribosomal RNA", at positions 355 to 774 of the family's 1533-position model. The record is from RNAcentral.